UGACCAGACUCCUACGGGAGGCAGCAGUGGGGAAUAUUGCACAAUGGGGGAAACCCUGAUGCAGCGACGCCGCGUGAGUGAAGAAGUAAUUCGUUCUGUAAAGCUCUAUCAGCAGGGAAGAAAAUGACGGUACCUGAGUAAGAAGCCCCGGCUAACUACGUGCCAGCAGCCGCGGUAAUACGUAGGGGGCAAGCGUUAUCCGGAUUUACUGGGUGUAAAGGGAGCGUAGACGGCGAUGCAAGUCUGAAGUGAAAGGCGGGGGCCCAACCCCCGGACUGCUUUGGAAACUGUAUGGCUGGAGUGCAGGAGAGGUAAGUGGAAUUCCUAGUGUAGCGGUGAAAUGCGUAGAUAUUAGGAGGAACACCAGUGGCGAAGGCGGCCUGCUGGACGACAACUGACGGUGAGGCGCGAAAGCGUGGGGAGCAAACAGGAUUAGAUACCCCAGUA
This 447-nucleotide ribosomal RNA is filed under the name uncultured bacterium. RNAcentral's name for it is "bacterial SSU rRNA". It matches the Rfam family "Bacterial small subunit ribosomal RNA", at positions 328 to 792 of the family's 1533-position model. The record is from RNAcentral.